GAUGAAGAACGUAGCGAAAUGCGAUAAGUAAUGUGAAUUGCAGAAUUCAGUGAAUCAUCGAAUCUUUGAACGCACAUUGCGCCCCCUGGUAUUCCGGGGGGCAUGCCUGUCCGAGCGUCAUUACAACCCUCAAGCUCAGCUUGGUGUUGGGCCCCGCCGCCCCGGCGGGCCCUAAAGUCAGUGGCGGUGCCGACCGGCUCCGAGCGUAGUAAUUCUUCUCGCUCUGGAGGUCCGGUCGUGUGCUCGCCAGCAACCCCCAAUUUUUUUCAGGUUGACCUCGGAUCAGGUAGGGAUACCCGCUGAACUUAAGCAUAUCAAUAAGCGGAGGA
Molecule: unclassified non-coding RNA, 329 nt
Filed under: soil metagenome
Description: partial contains 5.8S ribosomal RNA, internal transcribed spacer 2, and large subunit ribosomal RNA
Rfam family: 5.8S ribosomal RNA (bases 1-120)
Source: RNAcentral